Molecule: long non-coding RNA, 828 nt
Organism: Equus quagga
Lineage: Eukaryota; Metazoa; Chordata; Mammalia; Perissodactyla; Equidae
Exons: 5
Source: RefSeq, a predicted model, not a curated record
CCUUGGGAGGAUGACCUAAGGCUGCUUUCUCCCAUCCUGACUUCCUCUACCCAGCACUGUAACUACACGUACAAUUUGCUGGUUCUUCUAAAGGAUGACUGACUGGUGCUGCGAUGUGGUCUUCAGGCAGCCAGGGGGGAUCUCCAUAUGAGUCUAGCUGAGGAGAGAAAUGAAAACAGAGGAAAGUCCAGUAGAAGACGGGGAAGAGAGAUGAGCUGGCACUGAGGAAGUAAGAGUUUCAGGAAAAGCUAUAUAUAUGUAUGUACAUCUUCAUGAUAAACAUCUGGAAGAGUACAUAAGAAAACAUGAUGGCAGUUACAUUUGGAGAGUGAAACAAGAGGUCUGUGAUAGUGUUUUUGGCAGAAUUGGUCUCCCAAACUGGAAGAGCUUCUCUGUAUUUAAUUUCCUCUCAGGAAGUUUACCUUCAGAAGUCCAAGUGUGAGGUCAAGCUUUGGGUUGCCGGAAAUGGUAAUGUCCUUUACUGUCUGAGCACCCAGACGACUCUUAAUGAAACAUCCUACUCUAUGGACAUUGCUGCUUCUGCUGCUGCUGAAUUAUGCAGCCUGCUCUUGUGCAUAUCUCUCCUGCAGUGGCUGGCCUUAUUUCUGCACAGUGCAUGGAUCAGAAUCUGGGGGGAUGCAGACAGCACGCACUGAAAGACCUAAAUGAAUGUGUAAGAAUGACCACAAGGCACCAGACGUGGGUGUAUUUAUCCGUUUCUCUCAUUACUAAGAGGUUUUAGUUCCAAAAAAUAUCCGGAAGGAUUUAGUUUCGGGGAAGUGGGGAGGGAGAAGGAGUGGAAUAAGAUUUUUGAAAUUUUAAACAAUU